This 72-nucleotide transfer RNA is filed under the name archaeon. Its description in RNAcentral is "tRNA-Gly". It matches the Rfam family "tRNA". Rfam says of the family: Transfer RNA (tRNA) molecules are approximately 80 nucleotides in length. Their secondary structure includes four short double-helical elements and three loops (D, anti-codon, and T loops). Further hydrogen bonds mediate the characteristic L-shaped molecular structure. tRNAs have two regions of fundamental functional importance: the anti-codon, which is responsible for specific mRNA codon recognition, and the 3' end, to which the tRNAs corresponding amino acid is attached (by aminoacyl-tRNA synthetases). tRNAs cope with the degeneracy of the genetic code in two manners: having more than one tRNA (with a specific anti-codon) for a particular amino acid; and 'wobble' base-pairing, i.e. permitting non-standard base-pairing at the 3rd anti-codon position. The record is from RNAcentral.
GCACUCGUAGUAUAGUGGUUAGUAUGGGAGCUUGCCAAGCUUUCGGCCCGGGUUCGACCCCCGGCGAGUGCA